This is a long non-coding RNA of Gadus chalcogrammus (walleye pollock), 1873 nucleotides long. RefSeq lists it as uncharacterized. The transcript is spliced from 6 exons. NCBI's taxonomy places the organism in Eukaryota, Metazoa, Chordata, Actinopteri, Gadiformes, Gadidae. The record is from RefSeq and is a predicted model, not a curated record.
CUUCCUUUUUUGGCGGUUUUACCUCGUAGUAACUUUCCAGAAAAACGAAAGGGUUAUGAUGAGAGAUUGUCAGUAAAUAUGAUAUUGUUUAUUUGACAAGAUUGGCUGUGAAGCAUUCUCAUUUAAAUCACUGAUUUAGCUGUGGUAUCGUUGUAUCCGAAUUCGAAUCCGAUAUAAAUACUCGUGACAAGCAUGGUUCGGUAGCAGCGAAUGCUAUGCUAUCUCGUCCAUAAACGUUGCAUAUACUAUUCAGAAAUCAGCAUCGUUUAAGACGGUUUGUAGGUAGGGUAAAGUUUGCAGCGAAGGCUUUGCCGAUUAUUUUACUGUGAGGUUAACAUUACCAAAGUACAUUGUUAAGUUGGAUGUUAAGGUGAGCUGGCAUGGUAAGAGGCAUGAAAUCGCGGCCACUCUGCUUCGUUGUGGUGACACACGCAUCGGAUUAAACUGCAUGUAAACGUACUAGUACGUCUAAACUAAUAACUAGUAUGUUUACAUGCAUGGCAUAUCAGAGAAUUCUGUCAUUUCGGUCGCGGGGCAACGAAUGAAUAAAGAUCGUUAGCACUCUGAAAAACAGAUGACAGAUGUGCCCGAAGUUACUACUUUAUUACCUCCUUGGGUGAAAUCGAAGCGUAGUGUGUACUGAAUGCGUGUUGAUGAUGAUGCAUAUGAAUUGCAACUUACACGUCUUCCAAACCUUUUCAGUACCCUGGCACAUGCUUUGUCCAAUGGACCAUGGAAGGGACUUUACUUGGCUGACGAGGACGCACCUCACCAGUAUCAGAGCAACAGCUGUGGGGUGUUUAUGCUGAUGUACGCAAUGUAUUCUACCCUCAAAAGCAAUAUGAUUUCAGUGAGGGGGACAUGCUCUCUAUCAGGAGGUGGUGGUGUGGACAGCUGUUGGAGACCUUUAUGCUUGAAAGCCCUGCAGAACUAGCUGGCUCCUUCUCACCCUCUCCAUCUCCCCAUCUCAGUCACACCUUCCAAUCACUAAGCAGUGAAAGCCCUGCAGGACUAGCUGGCACACCAAGCUCACCCUCUCCAUCUCCCCAUCUCAGUCACACGCUCCAAUCUGGCACAACAGAGGACAGGCCAUUCUUACCACCCGAAGUCCUUCAGCAAUUUGUACAAGAGACGCUGAGACUGGACAUGGCGAUGCUUGGCGUGUUCAACAGGGUUUCAAACACAUUCCGAGAACUAAUCAAGCCUCUCCAUCCUUCCAUAUAUAUAAAUGACAGUUUGGCAGGGGACAUUAAGCUUAAUAAAGACAAUCUCAUAUACAUAACGGUUAGAAAGAUUUACAACAAUGCAGGCUGUGGCAGUGGCCUUGCGCUACGCCUCAAAGGCUUCUCAAAAAAGAAUUGGCCAAGCGCACCUCUGGUACUGAGGCACGUUGCAUAUGGCAGGUUUGUCAUAAAAGAUGUCUGCCUAGCAUAAUGUUCUUCUAUUACUCCUUUUUCGUUUUAUUUGGGACGUCAUUUUUUGCAAUCCCUUUCAUUUGUAAAUGUACAUACUACUGUAGUAAAUGUAUCUGCCCAGAAAUGCUGGUAUUUUAUUACUCCUUUCUUUUUUGUUUUUGUGACAAAUGCUAUACGAUGUAUAUAACAUACAUUUGUGCCUACGAUGUAUGUUGUAAGGUUAAUUGUUACAGAGCAAUUACUGUAUUUUGUCUUUAUUGAAAACAUUCAGUGGGAAAAGUAAGUGAACACUUGGAGUCAAAUGGCCUACUGUUUGAGCCUUCAUAGUGUCUGGUGGUAACUGGAUUUGAACUGCAUAAUGUCCCAAGUGUUAUUUUAAUCUAUUCAUUAUUUAAUUUGGGCAUAUUCUUAAACAACUAUAUCAAACAUCUCACUUAUAUCUAAUACCCUACCUAUCC